AUGGUGCUGGUGAAGAUGUUGAUGGAGAUUGACCCCCCUCCCAAUGAGAGAAUCGAUGGUGAUGAUGAUGGUGACGAUUUCCCCCUCCCGGAGGGAUGUUUCCCCGGCAGAACAGCUCCGCCGGAGCCCUAUAUUGGUUCCGCCAAGGUUCCGCCUCGUGGCGGCGGUGUUUCGUCCCGAAAGCUUGCUUAUGAUUUUUUCCAGGGUAAAAGACUUCAUAUAGUAGAAGAUGGGCACCGAAGGCCUGACAGGGGGCCCAUGAGGCAGGGGGCGUGCCCCCACCCUCGUAGCCAGGGUGUGGGCCCCCUCUAG
Molecule: ribosomal RNA, 312 nt
Filed under: Triticum aestivum (bread wheat)
Lineage: Eukaryota; Viridiplantae; Streptophyta; Magnoliopsida; Poales; Poaceae
Description: partial small subunit ribosomal RNA
Source: RNAcentral